GACAGAGGGGGCAAGCGUUGCUCGGAAUUACUGGGCGUAAAGAGCUUGUAGGCGGUUUGUCGCGUCUGCCGUGAAAAUUCGAGGCUCAACCUCGAACUUGCGGUGGGUACGGGCAGACUAGAGUGUGGUAGGGGAGACUGGAAUUCCUGGUGUAGCGGUGAAAUGCGCAGAUAUCAGGAGGAACACCGAUGGCGAAGGCAGGUCUCUGGGCCACUACUGACGCUGAGAAGCGAAAGCAUGGGGAGCGAACAGG
This 253-nucleotide ribosomal RNA is filed under the name uncultured bacterium. Its description in RNAcentral is "partial 16S ribosomal RNA". It matches the Rfam family "Bacterial small subunit ribosomal RNA", at positions 524 to 776 of the family's 1533-position model. The record is from RNAcentral.